GCGCUCUUAGCUCAGUUGGAUAGAGCAUCGGUUUUCUAAACCGAGGGUCGCAGGUUCGAAUCCUGCAGAGCGCGCCA
This 77-nucleotide transfer RNA is filed under the name Alphaproteobacteria bacterium. RNAcentral describes it as "tRNA-Arg". It matches the Rfam family "tRNA". Rfam says of the family: Transfer RNA (tRNA) molecules are approximately 80 nucleotides in length. Their secondary structure includes four short double-helical elements and three loops (D, anti-codon, and T loops). Lineage: Bacteria; Pseudomonadati; Pseudomonadota; Alphaproteobacteria. The record is from RNAcentral. RNAcentral also lists the same sequence under 1 other name.